This is a long non-coding RNA of Arabidopsis thaliana (thale cress), 394 nucleotides long. RefSeq annotates it as other RNA. The record is from RefSeq. The transcript has a single exon. Lineage: Eukaryota; Viridiplantae; Streptophyta; Magnoliopsida; Brassicales; Brassicaceae.
GUACCUACAAAAAUAUGAUAUAAUGUUACAUACAUGUAAGCACAACAGCAGCAUCGUGCAAACUAAUCCAUCUUUCAGUACCACUCUUUGGUAUCUUUUUUUUUUAAAACAUCGAUAAAUACCAAAAGUUUCAUCGGCUUCUUGCACCUUAACUUCUUCAUCUUCUUUUUUCCUAGAAUGCUACUCUAUCUCUUUCCGUAGAUCUUGGUCUCUUGACUCUUGUUGCUUUUUUUGACCAUCUAACCCCAUGCACUCUAUCGCUCUUUCUUUCUUUCUUUUUUCAAAGCUUUCAAUAUUUAAUCAUCGAGGAUAUUAAAACUUUAGCAUGAAGUCUCGAUCUGUGGACAUUUCCUUUUUAAUUACCUCUUUUAUUUACCAAUGUGGGGACACAAGG